This 388-nucleotide ribosomal RNA is filed under the name uncultured bacterium. RNAcentral's name for it is "bacterial SSU rRNA". It matches the Rfam family "Bacterial small subunit ribosomal RNA", at positions 30 to 418 of the family's 1533-position model. The record is from RNAcentral.
AUUGAACGCUGGCGGCAUGCUUUACACAUGCAAGUCGAACGGGGUGAGGAGCUUGCUCCUCAUCUAGUGGCGAACGGGUGAGUAAUACAUCGGAACGUACCGUGUAGUGGGGGAUAACGUAGCGAAAGUUACGCUAAUACCGCAUACGAUCCACGGAUGAAAGCAGGGGACCUUCGGGCCUUGUGCUAUACGAGCGGCCGAUGUCUGAUUAGCUAGUUGGUGGGGUAAAGGCCCACCAAGGCAACGAUCAGUAGCGGGUCUGAGAGGAUGAUCCGCCACACUGGAACUGAGACACGGUCCAGACUCCUACGGGGAGGCAGCAGGUGGGGAAUUUUGGACAAUGGGCGCAAGCCUGAUCCAGCCAUGCCGCGUGAGUGAAGAAGGCCUU